AGGUGCUGUCUGGUCCUGCAGAGCAAGAGGAUAGGCGAAGGGUUUCUCUCUGGGAGAAGACUGGUCCCUCUUUUUCACAGUAUCUGCUGGAGAGUGAGGACAGAAGAUGGAUGAAGUCCCAUGCAGCCACAGGAAAGGCUGAUCACAAAAGGAGAAAGGUUCAUUAAGUACAAAAGAACAGCAGGGAAAGUCAAAAGGGAUAGAUGUAAGAAAUGAAACCAUUAAGGACUGAAACCAAGUAGCCUUCAUUCAGAAGAAAAGGAGUUUAGCCAGCUGACAAUCCCGGUUCGGUUCCUCCAUUUCAACAGAUGGGGGAUCCUGGAACCAAAAAUCAGCCUCCACCAACCCGGCACCCUACAAAGAGCGCAUCCACCACUCCCAUCAUGUCCAUGUGGCAUCGCUGUCUGGGGAUGAUGGUACCUGCAGUCCAAUCUCUGGAGAGCUCCCAGUUGAGGGAUGCUGCUGGCAUCUCCAUCCUGUUUGCAAUCUUCCCAGAGC
Molecule: long non-coding RNA, 498 nt
Organism: Sceloporus undulatus (fence lizard)
Lineage: Eukaryota; Metazoa; Chordata; Lepidosauria; Squamata; Phrynosomatidae
Exons: 3
Source: RefSeq, a predicted model, not a curated record